This 313-nucleotide ribosomal RNA is filed under the name Metavononoides bellus. Its description in RNAcentral is "partial small subunit ribosomal RNA". Lineage: Eukaryota; Metazoa; Arthropoda; Arachnida; Opiliones; Cosmetidae. The record is from RNAcentral.
CCCCUGUAUUUUAUACGGUGAAGAUUAAUAUAUAUAUGAAAUUUAAAGUUUUUGGCGGCUAUUUAUUAUUUAGAGGAACUUGCUUAUUAAUAGAAAUUACUCUUUAUAUUUUACUUAUUUUUGUUUAUUUAUCUUCGUUAUUAGAUGAAAAUUAAAUAAAAGUUUAUUUAUAUUUCAGAUCAAGAUGUAGCAAAAAUUAGAUUAGGUUAGUUACAUUUAUGGAAUAAUGGAUUUUUAUUUUAAAUAUAAAUUUAAUUUGAAUUUAGUUGUAAAAUUAUUUAGAAUGAAAAUUUGAAAUUAUAUAAUUAGUGUU